GAUGAACGCUGGCGGCGUGCCUAAUACAUGCAAGUCGAGCGAACAGACGAGGAGCUUGCUCCUCUGACGUUAGCGGCGGACGGGUGAGUAACACGUGGAUAACCUACCUAUAAGACUGGGAUAACUUCGGGAAACCGGAGCUAAUACCGGAUAAUAUAUUGAACCGCAUGGUUCAAUAGUGAAAGACGGUUUUGCUGUCACUUAUAGAUGGAUCCGCGCCGCAUUAGCUAGUUGGUAAGGUAACGGCUUACCAAGGCAACGAUGCGUAGCCGACCUGAGAGGGUGAGCGGCCACACUGGAACGGAGACACGGUCCAGACUCCUACGGGAGGCAGCAGUAGGGAAUCUUCCGCAAUGGGCGAAAGCCUGACGGAGCAACGCCGCGUGAGUGAUGAAGGUCUUCGGAUCGUAAAACUCUGUUAUUAGGGAAGAACAAAUGUGUAAGUAACUGUGCACGUCUUGACGGUACCUAAUCAGAAAGCCACGGCUAACUACGUG
RNAcentral lists this ribosomal RNA (497 nucleotides) under uncultured bacterium. RNAcentral's name for it is "partial 16S ribosomal RNA". It matches the Rfam family "Bacterial small subunit ribosomal RNA", at positions 28 to 507 of the family's 1533-position model. The record is from RNAcentral.